CCACGACGAAAGUAGUAGCCAACCACCAUCAACCCAAACUCAUGUUUAACCAUAAUCCACUAUCAUUCAUCGGGACCACCGUUGGUCAUCGCUUGUUGGAACCAUCGUUGAUUGUUGUUCUUCGAAAACUGCUUCUCCAAAAGUUGGAUUUGUUACAAAGUGUGACUUCACCGGAGCCUUCAUCAGAGCAACUAAGGAAUUGAAGAAUGUUUAUCCAGGAAUUGCCCCCACCAUAUAUAUCCAGGAAUUGCCCCCACCAUAUAUAUCCAGGAAUUGGCACGGGUUGUAUAUCCCGGAGUGGCUUCCUAUAUAUCAAAUUUCAAAUGCCUUAGGUUGCACAAAACAUCAAAUUUUGUGGUUAAGAAAUCUGUAUAAGAAUUUAUGAAUCUUACCCCUUAAUAUUCAAUUCAUAAUUUUGCCCUCUUAGUCAAGAACUUUACCAUUAUUCAAUUCAUUAUGAGAAUUGGCAUAGAAUUCUUAAUGUGUAUCCAGGAUUUGUGAUUAAGGAAUUCUUAAGCUA
Long non-coding RNA from Mangifera indica (mango), 520 nucleotides. RefSeq lists it as uncharacterized. The record is from RefSeq and is a predicted model, not a curated record. NCBI's taxonomy places the organism in Eukaryota, Viridiplantae, Streptophyta, Magnoliopsida, Sapindales, Anacardiaceae. The transcript has 2 exons.